AAGAUACAAAGCCAAAAACUCAUACGGACUUUGGCUACACCAUCAAAGUUUUGUGAGACAAUAAGAAGCUUGGUUAGUUUU
RNAcentral lists this small RNA (81 nucleotides) under Arabidopsis thaliana (thale cress). RNAcentral describes it as "ATSL197210". The record is from RNAcentral. Lineage: Eukaryota; Viridiplantae; Streptophyta; Magnoliopsida; Brassicales; Brassicaceae.